ACAAGUAAGAUAGUUAAAAUUAAAAGAAACCAAUUCACCCCCCCCUCUUGGCUUGUCACCUUGGGCAACACUAAAGUUAAUCACAUAAUGGAUGUACUAAUUAUAGGGUUGACAGUGAGCUCUAAGUCAUCCUGGCAUUAGGAGUCAAAGAGAUUGAAUUAUAAAGUAACCAUAGUCCAGGGUUUCAGAAUAUUUGCUUCGCAUAUAUUCGGCCUAUCCGGACGUCGGAUAACAUUGCUAGGUG
Molecule: long non-coding RNA, 244 nt
Filed under: Phoenix dactylifera (date palm)
Lineage: Eukaryota; Viridiplantae; Streptophyta; Magnoliopsida; Arecales; Arecaceae
Description: long non-coding RNA (PDAC_LNC011075)
Source: RNAcentral